This 477-nucleotide ribosomal RNA is filed under the name uncultured Planctomycetales bacterium. Its description in RNAcentral is "bacterial SSU rRNA". It matches the Rfam family "Bacterial small subunit ribosomal RNA", at positions 365 to 832 of the family's 1533-position model. Lineage: Bacteria; Pseudomonadati; Planctomycetota; Planctomycetia; Planctomycetales. The record is from RNAcentral.
UUCGCAAUGCCCGAAAGGGUGACGAAGCGACGCCGCGUGCGGGAAGAAGGCCUUCGGGUUGUAAACCGCUGUCGGGAGUUAAGAAAUGUAAGGAUGUUAAUAGCAUCUUUGCUUGACUAAGGCUCCGGAGGAAGCCACGGCUAACUCUGUGCCAGCAGCCGCGGUAAUACAGAGGCGGCAAGCGUUGUUCGGAAUUAUUGGGCGUAAAGAGCACGUAGGCGGCUAUGUAAGUCGGUUGUGAAAGCCUUCCGCUCAACGGGAGAACAGCAUCCGAUACUGCAUGGCUUGAGUGCGGGAGGGGAGAGUGGAACUUCUGGUGGAGCGGUGAAAUGCGUAGAUAUCAGAAGGAACGCCGGCGGCGAAAGCGGCUCUCUGGCCCAUAACUGACGCUGAGUGCGCGAAAGCUAGGGGAGCAAACGGGAUUAGAUACCCCGGUAGUCCUAGCCGUAAACGAUGGGCACUAAGUAGAGGGGUUUU